GUGGCUUGGGGGCAUUUGAAAUAUUAGCUUUAGGAGGAGGAGGUGGAGGUGGUGGUGGUGUCGAAGGUGGGCCAACACGAAUAGAACCAGAAUGAGAUGUAGGUGGAGGCGGGGGUGGUGGUGGUGCACAUUUAGCAGCAGGAAUUCUUGUGGGAGGAGGAGGAGGUGGAGGUGGAGGUGGUUGCGCCUGACGCUUAUUUCCUGUGCUCCCAAACGACGGAGGCGGUGGUGGCGGUGGCGGUGGUGCUGAGGGCGAAGGAAUGCUUCUUGAAGAAGGAGGCGGAGGAGGAGGAGGAGGAGGACGUGGUGGUGGUGGUUGAGCUAAUGGCGGAGGGAUGCUUCUAGAUGGCAGUGGCGGGGGAGGAGGAGGUGGUGGUGGAGGAGUUUUAUUGAUAGGUUGAUGCAAUGUUGUCAAAGGAUCUCUAUUGCUGAAACUAGGGAGAGGUGGUGGUGGGGGUGGCUGUGAGGGUGAGAAUGAAGUUGUGCUCGUAAAAAGAGGGGGAGGAGGUGGCGGUGGGGGUGGCUGUGAGGGUGAGAAUGAAGUUGUGCUCAUAAAAAGAGGGGGAGGAGGUGGCGGUGGGGGUGGCUGUGAGGGUGAGAAUGAAGUUGUGCUCGUAAAAAGAGGGGGAGGAGGUGGCGGUGGCGGUGGAGGCAGAAGUGUGACAUGAUCACCAGAAGAUGGUGGAUCUGAUGGAAGAUUCAAAGGGUUGUCGACACUGUCUUUCGCUGG
This 730-nucleotide long non-coding RNA is filed under the name Arabidopsis thaliana (thale cress). RNAcentral's name for it is "long non-coding RNA (ATHA_LNC000538)". Lineage: Eukaryota; Viridiplantae; Streptophyta; Magnoliopsida; Brassicales; Brassicaceae. The record is from RNAcentral.